Molecule: ribosomal RNA, 387 nt
Filed under: uncultured bacterium
Lineage: Bacteria
Description: bacterial SSU rRNA
Rfam family: Bacterial small subunit ribosomal RNA
Source: RNAcentral
GACGAACGCUCGCGGCGUGCUUAACACAUGCAAGUCGAGCGGUAAGGCCCUUUCGGGGGGUACACGAGCGGCGAACGGGUGAGUAACACGUGGGUGACCUGCCCUCAGCUCUGGGAUAAGCCUGGGAAACUGGGUCUAAUACUGGAUAUGACUCCAUGACGCAUGUUGUGGGGUGGAAAGCCUUGUGCGGCUGAGGAUGGGCCCGCGGCCUAUCAGCUUGUUGGUGGGGNGAUGGCCUACCAAGGCGACGACGGGUAGCCGGCCUGAGAGGGCGACCGGCCACACUGGGACUGAGACACGGCCCAGACUCCGUACGGGAGGCAGCAGUGGGGAAUCUUGCGCAAUGGGCGAAAGCCUGACGCAGCGACGCCGCGUGAGGGAUGACGG